GACGAACGCUGGCGGCGUGCUUAACACAUGCAAGUCGAACGGAAAGGCCCUGCUUUUGUGGGGUGCUCGAGUGGCGAACGGGUGCGUAACACGUGAGUAACCUGCCCUUGACUUUGGGAUAACUUCAGGAAACUGGGGCUAAUACCGGAUAGGAGCUCCUGCUGCAUGGUGGGGGUUGGAAAGUUUCGGCGGUUGGGGAUGGACUCGCGGCUUAUCAGCUUGUUGGUGGGGUAGUGGCUUACCAAGGCUUUGACGGGUAGCCGGCCUGAGAGGGUGACCGGCGUCAUUGGGACUGAGAUACGGACCAGACGGCUACGGUAGACAGCAGUGGGGAGUAUUGCACAAUGGGCGGAAGCCUGAGGCAGAGACGCCGCGUGCGGGAUGACGGCCUUCGGGUUGUAAACCGCUUUAGCCUGUGACGAAGCGUGAGUGACGGUAAUGAGUAAAGAAGCACCGGCUAACUACGUG
This 468-nucleotide ribosomal RNA is filed under the name uncultured bacterium. RNAcentral's name for it is "partial 16S ribosomal RNA". It matches the Rfam family "Bacterial small subunit ribosomal RNA", at positions 28 to 507 of the family's 1533-position model. The record is from RNAcentral.